Molecule: long non-coding RNA, 5531 nt
Organism: Triticum aestivum (bread wheat)
Lineage: Eukaryota; Viridiplantae; Streptophyta; Magnoliopsida; Poales; Poaceae
Exons: 5
Source: RefSeq, a predicted model, not a curated record
AGGACUUCCGUCCGCUCCUCCUCAUCCAUGCCCGCACACCAGUCGUUCCCCACAGCACGGGCGGGCCGCCCAUCCUCCCGCCGCCUCCUGCCGUUCGCCGCUCGCAUCAUCCUCCUCUCAGCUUGGCCUCCCCCAUCCUCGCGUCGUUCGCUAGCCGCCCUCCCGCCGUAUGCCGUUCGCUAGAGAUGCGGGCGGACGGUUGGGCUGGCGAGCGGUGGUAGGUUCGUCACGCGACAGGUCGCCUGGGAUGCUAGCCGAUGGAUGCGGGUCAAGCCGACUCGGGCGGCGGCGCAUCUUCGGUAGAGGAGAGGGGAAAAGAAGGAGAGUCCUGGGGGCGGCUGAGGAGGUGCUCGCCGGCGAGCGGGCUCCGACGGCCGCCUGGCGCGCGGGGUUGGAUGGGGGCGUUUCCCGGCAGUCACGGCCGUCCUCGCGACACCAACUAGCCGAAAGCAUCGCCGCUCCCCGCCGCCCGCCGACGCGACGUCGCCUGCCCCUCCUACCCAUGCGACAAUGUUGCUCCUCGGCUCCUCCCCGCGCGACACCGCCUUCCCCAAGAGCGCCCACCCUGUCGUCCUCCUACUCCUCAGUGCCUCCUUCUCGCCUGCCCGCAACACCUUGCCUUGCAGCGGCGCCUGACACACGCACGACCCACACUAGAGCACGCCGCCCCUCGCUGCCCGGUUUUCUUCUUUUCCGUCGCACUGUGCGAAAUCUGCCCCAUGCUCGGUCUGGAUCUACAUAAGCGACUGAGAGAGAGAGAGAGCACAGCGAAGACGCACACUGUGGAUUGUGGAAGAGGAAGAGAACAUGCUGUUGGAUCCGAGCACCUGUCGGAGGAGCAUAGGCAUAAGGAGGCAUCCAUGAGACAAGUUUUUUUAAUUCGUAUUUCUAUGUCUGCAUGAUGACAUUAGUUAACUGGUAAUAGUUCGAUGUGGCGAUUGUUAACUUGUUCCAACUGUGAAAAAUGGUAGUUGUUGCCGGAUGAAUUUCUGGUCUCGCACCUCCUUAUUUUUGGUCUUGCACCAUGGACGGCCUGAACGGCGCUGACGCGUGCUUCUCCGGAGGAGGGCCAUGUGACGGCCAGACCGGCAGACAUAGCCAGGAUAUGCGGUACAAGGGAUUCGAGGCAAAUUGAGGAAGGAGCUGGAGCAGGUGGUGGAUUAAGGAAAGAGCUGGAGCAGAGACGGAUUAGAGCUGCUUAAGUGCAGAUUUUUAGACUAGCCUGCUUGAGUACAUGUUCUUAGAUUGCAUAUGGAAGGGAACUUACGUGCAUGUUGUUUGGAUUGCAGGAUGGAAGGGAACUUAAGUGCAUGUUUUCGGAUUGUACAUGAACUAAGUUCCUGCUGAAAAAUGGUGACUGCAUUUAGAGCUGGCAUUGGUGCUUGGUCAGACAUGGUGUCUUUGUAACUACACUAAGUUCCCUGGUUCUUGCUUAAAAAUGUUUACAAGAUAACAUUUCUAAACAUGAUCUAGAAGCCCUCAAACCAGAUCAAGCUCGGUACAUUGGAAUAAAAAGAAUGACAAGGCAGUUAGAAGUUCAGAAUUCUAUAUAGGAUAUAUAUACUUGGUUGUACCAUAUUUAGCUGAACUAAAGUAGAUGCUCUAACUGUGUUCACAUGAUUUUGAACAGGCCCAUGGAGAGAAGCCCUAAUGUACACCCAAGGUUCAGGGAGGUGAUCCAGGUUUCCAAGAAGGUUAGAAGGUUAGUUGCUUGUGCAAUUGAGUUCAAAUGUAGCUUGUUGCUGGAAGGAGUAGAGUUUGAUUAGAUCGGAUCAACGUUAUUUGGUAUUUUGGUAGUGGUUAAGUAUGGGAUAUGCACCUGCCAUUUUUCUAUGCAUAUUGUUCUGUCCAUGUAUGUUGCAUCCUUUUGACUUAUGUAUGAUGUGUUCAGUGAUGUCAUUGGUGACUCAUGUGAAGUUGCUUUGUUUGAUUCAAGUGCAAUUAGACCGUGGCAGCCAUGCGGAAUAUAUGCAUGAAGCCGUGAGCAGUGAGCAGCUUACCUAUUUAUUAUUGUUGGCCUUUUCAGUUGGAUUUAGUAUAGCUGGUUUACCUGCUUCUCAGAUGACGAACAAAGACUAACAUUAUCUCUUUAUUCUUGCAUCUUAUACCCUCAGCUUGAGAAAAACAAACCUUAUCAUUUCCAUUUGUAGAGUUAAUAUCAUAUUUGAGGGAUCAGUUGGCACUCAUGCCUAAAAUGUGUUGUUUUUUCGCAUGCUUAAUUGUACACAGCUAGAUAGACAUGCAUAAGUAUUUAGGUUGAUGCACAAGUCAAUUUACAGUAGGAUUAUGAGGACAAUCAACUAAGCUCCAACAACUUAUCUGCUAUUUUCAGAUCAGCAAGGCAAGAAUAGCUUUAUUGUUUCUCUGUUCUUUCCUUAUUCUCACACAACAGAAAAACUAAAUUUAUUUCUUCUGCACUUUAUGUUUCUUAAUGUUGUCAGACUAAUACAGAAGAACAAAAAACUAACUGUUGAUGCUUUGUCUGUCCAGCUAGCCGGCAAGUCAGAUAAAAGUGCCAUCUGAUACGAGAAAGUACUACUGUUUACAUUUAUAAAAGAUACAUAAGUGUUAAUUUGGCAAGUCUGUUAGUUGAUAACCUUACCUGAUGUUAAGAGGGUGAGUGGUUAGUGUAAAAUAACUUUGAGAUCAUCUCCUUUUGCAGUUCUGACCAAUUUUUUCUUCACAUCAUUUUGAAAUUCUUAGUUUGUUUUUUGAGUUAUCCAUAUUGUACCCAUGUCAUGCUGAAUGAACGUGCAUGCUGUGAGAGAGAGAUGGAAACUGUAAUUCUUCAGUGUCAUUGUACAUUAUGUAGAGUUAUAUUUUGAAAAUCACUGUUUCGAUGUCUCAUCAAGGUUGAGGCUCAUAUUGUUUAAGAAUGUUGCUCACCAAUUCACCAUUGUUUUUGGGUGACCCAAUUUAUGUAAGCAUGUACAAAAUUAGACUACGAAACACAAACCAGAUAUAUUGGUUCACUAAACUCACAGUUAUCAGGGAGAAAUAACAUAAACUCUUUCGUUUCAAGCAUUUUUUCUUACUAAGUUUCCUAUAUCUAAUCUACUUCACACAUUAUAUAACUAUGAAACUGCUAAUAAUUAUUCACAACGGCAUCUCUAAAUUCAUCAUGAGAACAUGCUAUAUGUCUCUCUGACAAUGUGUCAUGAUGAUUUGGGCAUCUGGCUUAUCUUAAUGUUGUCAGACUGAUACAGAAGAACUGAAAACUAACUACAGUUUGGAUGUAACAACGUACACGGCAUAGCUUGACACCACGUAGAAGUCAGGAGAGCGCCCACGUCGCCUAGGUUGAAUUCAAGUUUUGCCUCCAUUUUAUCCAGAUCCUUGCUAUUGUGGUUAGGUUUUAGAGAUCAGAGUUGUUGUAUCUAUGCAAGUGAAGAGUACUCCAUCUAAAUUUGAUUGCAAAACAAACAACACGUUUUAACUACAUGCUUUUCAACUUCCUGUAGGAGGGUGAGUGGAUUAGUCGCCGAUUAGUGCCUUCACUGUUGUUGAAUAAACUGGCUUCAGCUCUGAUGCAUGUGAACUGUGAGGUGUUUUUGGUAUGGGAAUGAUGAGGUUUUGAUGGUCUAUACCUGAUUGCAAGGGUUGGGUAUGAAUUAAAUUUGCGUCCAAACUUGGCAAUUAUCUUCUAUGAAUUUAGGCAUUGUUCACAUGUCCUUUGAGUCAAACAGAAAUAUGCUUCAGAAAUGCUCCAAUUUGCUGCUUUUCACAUUUAGAGAAGGUUGUUUAUUUCGUAUUCAUCAGGUUAUGCUAAAGCAGAAGGCAUUGUGCUAACAUUUUUUAAGCCUUACUUGAUUUUGAUAUGUGGUUAGCCGUUUGCCCUUGCACCAAAAACAAACACUAUUCCUAUGUCUUACUUAGAAGCAAAGGUGCAUUAAUUAUUAACUGGUUGAUAUAUGUUCCAUGGUGGGUGGCAUAGAAAACAAAGCUUCUUUCUAAGACAUGAUGUUCUGUUACUAGCAAAAAAGUGUUAGAAUUUAUAAGUACUUAUUCAAAGAAAAUAAAAACUGACUGGAGAACUGUUUGCUUCUACCAUUCCUUUCAAGUUAAGGCAAAAAUCAUAUUGGCAUGUAGCUUGUGCUCCUGCAGAGUUCUUUUUGUUUUGAUUUUCUGUAAUGUUAAAGGCAUAUCGAAUAAUGAAAUUGCAAUAGUUAUGAUCCCUAGGCCCGACAAAAAACUGACGAGAGUAUUAGGUGGUGGCAGGUAUCAGGCUACAACAGCUGAAUUGCAAGUCUUCUGAUGAGCUUCUGCGGCAAGGAGGAGCAAUCUUACAGUGCAAAGAUGAAGAAGGGGCAAUUCCUCUUCAUGGUGCUUGUGCUUGGGGGUAUGCAUUAUUUAUUUGCAUUGAGCUUAUACUUCAUUGCCCCAAGGAGAAGGUUUCAUGCCCCAAGAAGUAGAAUACAUACAGAUAGGCACCCAUCGGGAUCAAGAAACCAAAGUCUGGGCCCUGUUAACUACUCCCUCCAUUCCAAAAUAGAUGACCCAACUUUGUACUAACUUUGUACUAAAGUUAAUACAAAGUUGAGUCGUCUAUUUUGGAAUGGAGGGAGUACAAAGCAAGUCGAUGCCAUCAUACAUAUGACAAACUGAUGGGCCUGUCAGAGCGAACCCCUGGUUGAGAUUUGUCAAAAGACUGGGCGGUAAACUGAGUGGUAGUCUUAGUAUCUUAAUACACAACUUGCGUACUAUGGGAAUUGUGUUUAUGUUGUUAUGGGAUUAUGGAGUUAUGAUCUAAAAAAAUUAUGGAGUUAUAAUCUAAAAAAGAACUAUGGAGUUGUGUGCAAAGAAAGGACAUAAUGUUUCUCAAAUUGCCCUUUGUAUCUCUAUGUUUUGCACUUUAUCAAAGGCGCAAUUAGUUGAGCUCUCAAGCCAAGUUUUUCCAGCAUGAUUUCACUUAUGGUUCCUUGCAAGAAUUUUGAAGGAAAUAUUUCGCCUAUGACAACCUAGAACUUGCUAGCUGUGUAGUCCGUUGUUUACCAUGGUAGGGUGAUAUCCUAUUUUUUUUCUAAGUAGAUGUAGUUAUAUUUUGAUAUGGUCUAAUACAUCUCAUUUCCUAAAUUGAAUAAUACAUAUCUUCUACAAAAUUAAAUAUCAAGAAACUAGAUGCAAAUUAAUUGUGAAAUAGCACCACUAAUUUAAUGGUGCAAUCUAAAGAAGAACGGUUGAACAAUUGUUUUUUUAUCAAGCAAUUCGGUGACAACAGUCAACAGUGCCAAGGUUCAGUUCAUCAAGGAGAGAACUACUCGUACAAUGUCCAUUGAUACAACACCCUGGCCAGGCAAACAAAAGACAUGCGUUGCAUGUGCUGCUUACUAGUCUUGCUUAAGGCGUUACUCUGUUUUUAACUUAAUACUUUAGAUGCAUGCUCGAUAGCUAUCGAUGAGUGGAGUAAUAGUAGUAGAUGCAGGCAGGAGUCGGUCUACUUGUCUCAGACGUGAUGCCUAUAUACAUGAUCAUACCUAGAUAUUUUCAUAACUAUGCUUAAUUUUGUCAAUUGCUUAAUAGUAAUUUGCUCA